UUUGCCGUGAGAACAAAGAAGGGAAGAGGAAGAAGAAGAGGAGAAGAGAGGGGAUCAAGGCAUGCCGCCGUCCGUCGUCGUUGUUCCCCUCCAAAAACCGGUAGGAUUUCCUCUCCUCUUUCCAUUUUUUCCCCAUCUCCAUGGCUUCUCCUCGCUGUUCGUGGUGGUCCCCCCAUGUGUGCUGCAGUUUGGGGGCAAUCGAAGGGUUACCGUGACCCUCGCCGCCAAGAAAACGGUGGGGAAUCGUUGUUUGGAUGGUCGCCGUCGCCGUCGCCUUUGAUCUUUUCAAGGGGAAACCCUAGGUGGUGCACCUUUGGAUCAUGCUUAGCUCACGUUCUUGAUCUUCGGUGAAGGCAAGUAAACGUGGCACUGUGGUCCACACGUUUUGGCUUUGUUAUUUGAAUUGGCUCCACUAAAUUUUAAGAUUCUCACACUAGUCAUAUAAUCUGAAAUUGGAAGUUAUUUGCUUUACUUUGCUCUACUUUGAAGUAUAUGAUGUUAUAUCUUGUGGAUUAUUGUUGAACUAUGAAGUACAUGAAGUGCAUACAUUGCAAUAUGUGCAUUUGCACUCUUCCCAUUGAUAUGCAUUUGAAGAAACCGUAGCCGAAUUGGUGCGGUGAGUACCGGUACAAUAACACACGUUGAUGAGCAAUGUAGUUGCAACUCUCACUCCCUCUCUUUGGGAUGUGUGGGUAGAAGUGAAGUCAUGCAUGCAUUGCAUCAUUUGCAUAUGCAUUGCACCAUUUGCAUGUGCAUUGAAGUAUUGAUAUGAAGUUUUCAUAUAUUUUUCUCUACCUGAAGUUAUUCAUUGUCGUAGUAUGAUGCUUCUUUUUAUCUAAUUAUUAAUAUGAUGUUUAAUCAAAUUGCGAUUUAAAUAGCUUGGUUAAAGCAGUUGGCUUGUUGAGGUUUUUCCAUAAACCUCACACAUUGAUUUUCCCCCUCACAGGUGCUUGAGCUUGGACAUUGCAUGCUUGGGAUGGGAGUAGCAGCAUGUGUGCACACACUUAACAAUAUAUAUUGAAUAAAUGUUGUAUAAUAAAAUGUUUGGAUGUGGAGACUUCGUUGUUGUUGUUUUAAAUUCUCUCGUGUGGUUCAGUUUGUGAAAUGUUUAAGUCUUUGUUAAUCUAUCUGAACAAUUUAUGUUGCUUCCGCGUA
Panicum virgatum (switchgrass) is the source of this 1155-nucleotide long non-coding RNA. RefSeq lists it as uncharacterized. Lineage: Eukaryota; Viridiplantae; Streptophyta; Magnoliopsida; Poales; Poaceae. The record is from RefSeq and is a predicted model, not a curated record. The transcript is spliced from 2 exons.